RNAcentral lists this ribosomal RNA (2317 nucleotides) under Acinetobacter baumannii. RNAcentral's name for it is "partial 23S ribosomal RNA". It matches the Rfam family "Bacterial large subunit ribosomal RNA", at positions 643 to 2925 of the family's 2925-position model. The record is from RNAcentral. Lineage: Bacteria; Pseudomonadati; Pseudomonadota; Gammaproteobacteria; Moraxellales; Moraxellaceae.
AGGUUAACCGUAUAGGGGAGCCGUAGAGAAAUCGAGUCUUAAUAGGGCGUUUAGUUGCUGGGUAUAGACCCGAAACCAGGCGAUCUAUCCAUGAGCAGGUUGAAGGUUGGGUAACACUAACUGGAGGACCGAACCCACUGUCGUUGAAAAGCCAGGGGAUGACUUGUGGAUAGGGGUGAAAGGCUAAUCAAGCCUGGUGAUAGCUGGUUCUCCCCGAAAGCUAUUUAGGUAGCGCCUCGGACGAAUACCAUAGGGGGUAGAGCACUGUUUCGGCUAGGGGGCCAUCCCGGCUUACCAAACCGAUGCAAACUCCGAAUACCUAUGAGUACUAUCCGGGAGACAGACUGCGGGUGCUAACGUCCGUAGUCAAGAGGAAAACAAUCCAGACCGCCAGCUAAGGCCCCAAAAUCAUAGUUAAGUGGGAAACGAUGUGGGAAGGCAUAGACAGCUAGGAGGUUGGCUUAGAAGCAGCCACCCUUUAAAGAAAGCGUAAUAGCUCACUAGUCGAGUCGGCCUGCGCGGAAGAUGUAACGGGGCUAAAACUAUGUGCCGAAGCUGCGGAUUUGACAUUAGUCAAGUGGUAGGGGAGCGUUCUGUAAGCCGAUGAAGGUGUAUUGAGAAGUAUGCUGGAGGUAUCAGAAGUGCGAAUGCUGACGUGAGUAACGACAAAACGGGUGAAAAACCCGUUCGCCGAAAGACCAAGGGUUCCAGUCCAACGUUAAUCGGGGCUGGGUGAGUCGACCCCUAAGGCGAGGCCGAAAGGCGUAGUCGAUGGGAAAAUGGUUAAUAUUCCAUUACUUCUGUGUAAUGCGAUGAGAGGACGGAGAAGGCUAAAUCAGCCUGGCGUUGGUUGUCCAGGUGAAAGGAUGUAGGCAUGUAUCUUAGGCAAAUCCGGGGUACUCUAUGCUGAGAUCUGAUAGCAAGCUGUACUUGUACAGCGAAGUGGUUGAUGCCAUGCUUCCAGGAAAAGUCUCUAAGCUUCAGUUACACAGGAAUCGUACCCGAAACCGACACAGGUGGUCAGGUCGAGUAGACCAAGGCGCUUGAGAGAACUCUGCUGAAGGAACUAGGCAAAAUGGUACCGUAACUUCGGGAGAAGGUACGCUGUUGUUGGUGAUGGAACUCGCUUCCUGAGCUGACGACAGCCGCAGAAACCAGGCCGCUGCAACUGUUUAUUAAAAACAUAGCACUCUGCAAACACGAAAGUGGACGUAUAGGGUGUGAUGCCUGCCCGGUGCUGGAAGGUUAAUUGAUGGGGUUAGCGUAAGCGAAGCUCUUGAUCGAAGCCCCAGUAAACGGCGGCCGUAACUAUAACGGUCCUAAGGUAGCGAAAUUCCUUGUCGGGUAAGUUCCGACCUGCACGAAUGGCAUAAUGAUGGCGGCGCUGUCUCCAGCAGAGGCUCAGUGAAAUCGAAAUCGCUGUGAAGAUGCAGUGUACCCGCGGCUAGACGGAAAGACCCCGUGAACCUUUACUGCAGCUUGACACUGAACUUUGACCUUACUUGUGUAGGAUAGGUGGGAGGCUUUGAAGCUGGAACGCUAGUUCCAGUGGAGCCGUCCUUGAAAUACCACCCUGGUAAUGUUGAGGUUCUAACUCUGUCCCGUGAUCCGGGACGAGGACCGUGUCUGGUGGGUAGUUUGACUGGGGCGGUCUCCUCCUAAAGAGUAACGGAGGAGUACGAAGGUGCGCUCAGCGUGGUCGGAAAUCACGCGUAGAGUAUAAAGGCAAAAGCGCGCUUAACUGCGAGACCCACAAGUCGAGCAGGUACGAAAGUAGGUCUUAGUGAUCCGGUGGUUCUGUAUGGAAGGGCCAUCGCUCAACGGAUAAAAGGUACUCUGGGGAUAACAGGCUGAUACCGCCCAAGAGUUCAUAUCGACGGCGGUGUUUGGCACCUCGAUGUCGGCUCAUCUCAUCCUGGGGCUGAAGCAGGUCCCAAGGGUAUGGCUGUUCGCCAUUUAAAGAGGUACGCGAGCUGGGUUUAGAACGUCGUGAGACAGUUCGGUCCCUAUCUACCGUGGGCGCUGGAAAUUUGAGAGGAUCUGCUCCUAGUACGAGAGGACCAGAGUGGACGAACCUCUGGUGUACCGGUUGUGACGCCAGUCGCAUCGCCGGGUAGCUAUGUUCGGAAGGGAUAACCGCUGAAAGCAUCUAAGCGGGAAGCCUACCUCAAGAUAAGAUUUCCCUAGGACUUUAUGUCCUCUAAAGAGCCGUUCGAGACUAGGACGUUGAUAGGUUGGAUGUGGAAGCAUAGUGAUAUGUGAAGCUGACCAAUACUAAUUGCUCGUGAGGCUUGACUAUACAACACCCAAGCAGUUG